RNAcentral lists this ribosomal RNA (181 nucleotides) under Helicobacter pylori. RNAcentral's name for it is "partial 23S ribosomal RNA". It matches the Rfam family "Bacterial large subunit ribosomal RNA", at positions 1912 to 2092 of the family's 2925-position model. The record is from RNAcentral. Lineage: Bacteria; Pseudomonadati; Campylobacterota; Epsilonproteobacteria; Campylobacterales; Helicobacteraceae.
UUGAAGCCCGAGUAAACGGCGGCCGUAACUAUAACGGUCCUAAGGUAGCGAAAUUCCUUGUCGGUUAAAUACCGACCUGCAUGAAUGGCGUAACGAGAUGGGAGCUGUCUCAACCAGAGAUUCAGUGAAAUUGUAGUGGAGGUGAAAAUUCCUCCUACCCGCGGCAAGACGGAAAGACCCC